Molecule: ribosomal RNA, 256 nt
Filed under: uncultured bacterium
Lineage: Bacteria
Description: partial 16S ribosomal RNA
Rfam family: Bacterial small subunit ribosomal RNA
Source: RNAcentral
UACGUAGGGUGCGAGCGUUUGUCCGGAAUUAUUGGGCGUAAAGAGCUCGUAGGCGGUGUGUCGCGUCGGCCGUGAAAACCUGCAGCUUAACUGUGGGCUUGCGGUCGAUACGGGCAUCACUGGAGUUCGGCAGGGGAGACUGGAAUUCCUGGUGUAGCGGUGAAAUGCGCAGAUAUCAGGAGGAACACCGGUGGCGAAGGCGGGUCUCUGGGCCGAUACUGACGCUGAGGAGCGAAAGCCGUGGGGAGCGAACAGG